Molecule: ribosomal RNA, 4276 nt
Filed under: Triticum aestivum (bread wheat)
Lineage: Eukaryota; Viridiplantae; Streptophyta; Magnoliopsida; Poales; Poaceae
Description: partial small subunit ribosomal RNA
Source: RNAcentral
CGGGAGGAGAGGUAGAGGGAGGAGUUGCGCGGGUCGCGAGCGCGCGAACACAGGGCGUGGUUGGCGUCGGCGGGGCAGCCCCGAGGGUCGGCGGUACCGGAUCGCGUGGGAGCGGUAGCUGGAGGGGCUGCGAGCUCCACGUCGUCGCCCCUCGGUCAAGAGCUGGAGGUACCUCCUCUUCCCGGAUCGCCCGAGAACGUCUGUUCUCUCCGACCCCCACGAGCAGCUAACCCGUCUACCUCCCGUAGGCUCAAAGAAGUUAGCUAAACCGGUCCCGGUGUCGUCGCAUGCGCUUCCGACCUCCACUUGCUGGGAGACCUCGACGUCUACAGCUGUCUUCUUCUUAAAACUACUUCCUAAACUAUUUCUUCUUGUCCGCCGUAAGUCCAGAGGAUGAUUUCGAGGAGCGGCCGCACCGGUGAGAGGGGAGGUUGACGUCCGACUCUGUUUUAUAACCGUUCGUAAUGGUAAUACUAGGAGGUAGCUAGUAGUACCAACUUCCUUUUACAUAAUCCGUACCAUAAAAGUUCGAUUCAUAUGGUCGUCGGCUACGACCUGGAGGACUACGUAUAUCAAACGUAUAAAGAUAAGUAGGUUAAGGAAGUAGGUAAAAAGGAAUAAAAAGACAAGCGAGUAAAUAAGAUCGUAUAAGGAUAGUCAUAAAAAGUCGACUUCCUAUAUACGAGACUAAUGGUUUGCUUACACGUCCGUUGCGGGUAAACUAAAGGCACCUGUUUAUAGGAAAAAACUCGAAUAAUAAGUGUUAAAUAUCAUUAUACGAUAAUACCCGAAACGAGGUCGUACUAUUCCUCCUUUCUUGACGUCCGACAUAACAAGCAACUGUAAGUACUAGUCAAUGUGUGGUUCGGAUAUAAAAACGACGAAGAUGUACAACGAUACUACCAGUAAGUCGGGUAAAAGAAUAACGUACUGGAACUUUUUCUCGAAUAAAUCAAUUACUAAAAGUGAAUGAUUUUAAGUCUCUCGAGAACGACCCAUACCUCGACAACUAAUGAGUUUUGGACAACUACAUAAUCAAACAAAGUCUCUAGAGAACCAAACCGUAUGACCGCGAAAGCGACUUGAGCUGUUUCAUCGAAGUGUUCAGUGUUGUGUUACACAUCAAGUCACAUCUCAAAACAUACUUUAGCACUUUCGUAAAGUAUAAGGAAUAAAAAAAGAAAAGUAUACUACAAUACUUUAACCAAUGAUUAAACGUUCUGUAUACGUAAAAAGUAAUUUUUUGAACCCUUCACAACACCGACCAAUAUACGUCGAGGUAGAGAGAGAGAGAGAGAGAGAGAGAGAGAGAGAGAGAGAGAGAGAGAGAUGCGUGAGUACAAGUCAACAAUAAAACCACACGUUCUCUCAUCAAUCAAUCUUCGAAUGCAAGAAAUACAAAGACCUAAACCACGUCCAAGCUCCUACAUUUGGAUGGACUAUAUAAGAAGUACCCCUAACUCAUAAAAUCACUAUAUAGACUCUUAAUAUUACUAGAUAGACGAUCGUCCGCCUCAAGUCUGAGACAAAAACGAUGUUUUCUUAGUCCGGUGGGGACUACGGGUCCGACUACGAAGAAGCGAACUACGACUUCUUUCCCUACUGGUCUAAGUCUACGGGUUCUUUUUCGUCCGCGGCGUAGAAGAGAAUAUGGAAAUAGAUACAUGAAAUUGAAGUGAACUACGCCCGCGCACAGACCACAGGGACGAUUUUUGGCUGUCAAUGGAUUCUUAAACGUCGUCAAUUUGGAACUUAAACGUCGCCAAUUUUGGACUUCGAUGAAGAUGAAAAGGAUACUUCCUAGUGUUGAUGUGACUUAUGUCGUUUGGACAAGGGUAUAGCACACCUUUUGAUGAAGUAAGAAGAGAUACACAAAAGACUACGUAAAAACCAUCACCCUCACCCUAUACCUCUCCCUCUCUCUCGUAUAGGUUUACCUUACCUACCCUUGUACUAUAAACGUCUAGACUCUUUCAUCUCUAUCCUGGUUCUUUUUAUCCAAAGAGGUAGGACAAUUCAAAGGAACGAACAAAUCGUAAACCACUUUUUAAUACCCGGUCACGUAACCGCGCCGGUCGGAUGGACACAUGUCUUAGAUACGAAUUUAAAACAUUUUUUAUCACGAAAGAACGAAUGCCAAGAACGCUACCAAACACGACUUUUUAGAUACUCGAUUACGUAAACACGUUAGUCGGACGGACACACGCCUUAGAAACAAAUCUAAAACAGUUUUUCAACGAAAAGACUGAUAAAAAGAGUACCACCAAAUUAGGGUAUCUAUUUAACACACACACAGAUACUAACAACACAGGCCAGAGAUAGAUACGUUAGUAGACUACGUACAGAUACAUCAAUAAACCUCAUAUGAAUGUAUACCCAAUCUAGUCGUCUUAGUUUUGGCUUAUAACACUACGAUCUUAACCAAGUUACAACAAGGGAGUACACCAUCACUGUACAAAACAUUGUAAGAUAAGUUUUGAUCCGCCCCUGCAGAGAACCAUACCUUUGAAAUAAAACAUGGUGAACGUAAGACUUGACAUAUUGAGGAAAAGAAAACAUAUAUAAUGGUCAUAUAAAAGUCGAACGUGUAUUGACAACUAACAGUUUCAUUCGUUAUUCAAUCGUUAUUGACGGUACUCAAACUUAACGGGUAAUGUACAGGUCUCAAACCUUAAAAUGGAUUGGAACUUAUCAAAGGAAUAUAGAGUAAAAGAAAGUACACACACAUAUAUAUUUUACGAAUCAAGAAUAAUAAAGUGUACAAAUUCUCUAUUUCCGUGUAGGUCCCUUUCUAAAGCUACAUUAAUAUGCAUGUAAAUAAAUACUACCAAGAAGGUUGUACUAGUCCAGUCUUCUUAAAAAGGAACAAAACAAUACAAAGUGUGAUAACAGGUUUACCUACACGGAAUAAAAGGGUUAAUAGAAUAUGGGAAUACGGGUUGCGAAGAGUGGUUCUAGGCAUUCACACUGACUACUUGGUACAAUGUUUCCUUCAUCAGACUGUAGGCAACUCAUUAAAUUGGUACGUUAAAUACAAUACUUGUUCAAAAUUUUUAUCAGAACCACUUUUCACAACAAGAUAUUUAUCGAAAGAAGGUUAAAAAUCAAAACGACUAAAAAUUACACAGUCAAAACUAGCUUUAAAAUCAAACCAACUGCGGUGGAAGACGUAAGGAAAACAUAUGAAUUGACUUUCGUCUUGAACAAUUCACUCCUAACCAAUGAACCAGAAUAAACCCGAGAGUCAUCACUCAUGGAUUUGACUACGUUAUUGUUGAAUAACGUAAGAAGGAUAUUAGGCUAGACUCGAAUCACAAAACGGUCAAACGUACAUUUACGCUAUUUUCUAGAGUGAAAUACUAUAAACCAUAUAUGUUAUACGAAGUUCACGUUAUUACAUGUUCACCUAAACUCCUAGUUUACCUCACUUUCCUUCCGUACUAAUUUAAACGUACGUGAAAGAUAACAAUGUCUAGGUUGGAUACAAACUAUAACUAGAACGGAGCGGAGUACGAUUAGAGAGAACAUAUUGUUCUGUAUGAAUAAGCUACUAAACCGAGGAGAAAUGAUUAAAUAAUAAUAAAAACGAGUAGAUAUAUAUCCAAUACUAUACAGUAACGAGUCGAAUACUUUCCUCGACUACUGACCCCAUGGUAUCGUUGUUUGACCUGUCUCAAGAAGGUAAAUUUUUUGUCUCCUUUCUAUGUACGAAAGGCAGAAGUCUGCGUUCCGUUUCUCGCAAGCAGAUUAGUAAGUGAGGACUUCUGUGGUAGCAUUUGGAAAUCACAGCGGAUAUAUCGAACGUAAGGUCUUAAGUACAAAUGUCACGAAAACACGGUACACACCAUACGAGGUGUAACCAAGCAGAAAGGAACACAAUGGAGAAUCAUAUCCAUAAUACCUAGCAGUCAGACUGAUAUUCAUAGUUACUUCUAUUCGAAUAGAAAGUAAGAGAAAGUUAGCUUAAUUCCACGAAUGUUUACGGGAUGUUAUGGAUGUAUUAUGUACUAGGAUUAACCGAAGAACGCGGUACCCACAAUGUUCUCAUUUCCAAAUAGAUUACUCCGGAACAGCGCCGCGACGUUCACAACGGGGGGAGGAGGGGUUCCCAUUCCACUUCCUUCCACGGACACACCAAGAAGACGUCGAGCGUCGCUCCUAACGACACAGGUUGGACGUGUUCUUACGGUUCUUCAGGAAGAGCCUCUGCUAAUUCCUGUACAUGGACGUGAUGUUGCUCUCUAGACCUGACGAAGAAACACCGAAGGUUUGAACU